RNAcentral lists this ribosomal RNA (611 nucleotides) under Polietes lardarius. Its description in RNAcentral is "partial 12S ribosomal RNA". The stretch from base 1 to 385 matches the Rfam family "Microsporidia small subunit ribosomal RNA", at positions 779 to 1311 of the family's 1311-position model. The record is from RNAcentral. Lineage: Eukaryota; Metazoa; Arthropoda; Insecta; Diptera; Muscidae.
UAAAAAAUUUGGCGGUAUUUUAGUCUAUUCAGAGGAACCUGUUUUAUAAUCGAUAAUCCACGAUGGACCUUACUUAAGUUUGUAUUAGUUUAUAUACCGUCGUUAUUAGAAUAUUUUAUAAGAAUGUUAAUUUUCAUAAUUUUAAAAAAGAAAAUAUAUCAGAUCAAGGUGUAGCUUAUAUUUAAGUAAAAAUGGGUUACAAUAAAUUUAUUUAAAUGGAUAUAAAUUUGAAAUUUUUAUUGAAAGUGGAUUUGAUAGUAAAAUUAUAAAGAUAAAUAAUUUGAUUUUAGCUCUAAAAUAUGUACACAUCGCCCGUCACUCUUAUUAUUAAGGUAAGAUAAGUCGUAACAUAGUAGAUGUACUGGAAAGUGUAUCUAGAAUGCAAUUUAAAGCUUAUUAAGUAAAGCAUUUCAUUUACAUUGAAAAGAUUUUUGUGCAAAUCAAUAUAAAUUGAUUAAAUUUUAUUUAUUAAUUUUUUUUUUAAAAAAAAGUAUUUUAUUAAAAAUAAUUAUAAAUUGUUUAGUUUUAGUAUUUUUUAAAGAAAAAAUAAAUUUAAUUAUAGUUGAAUAGUAUUGUUAAAGAAAAUUGAAAUAAUUUGAAAAAUUAUUAUU